UGUGGAAAAUUCAGUGCAGGGGUAAAAUGAUAAUUUUAAAACUUUUUUAAAAUUAUGAUUUUACAGUGGAAAAAUAUUAAUUAAUCUAAUUAAUUAACAUAAAUUUAUCCUACACUAGGAUCUAAAUAUGAUAUAUAGCAUGCAUUCAUUUAAAUUUGAAUUUCAAAUUUAAACAGUAAACACUUUACUGUAAUGUGUUUAGAACACAAUACCUUUGUGCGGGUAGUAGAUCGCCGCAAUCUGAUCAC
RNAcentral lists this long non-coding RNA (248 nucleotides) under Elaeis guineensis (African oil palm). RNAcentral's name for it is "long non-coding RNA (EGUI_LNC062882)". The record is from RNAcentral. Lineage: Eukaryota; Viridiplantae; Streptophyta; Magnoliopsida; Arecales; Arecaceae.